Molecule: ribosomal RNA, 492 nt
Filed under: uncultured bacterium
Lineage: Bacteria
Description: partial 16S ribosomal RNA
Rfam family: Bacterial small subunit ribosomal RNA
Source: RNAcentral
AGUGAACGCUGGCGGUAGGCCUAACACAUGCAAGUCGAACGGCAGCACAGUAAGAGCUUGCUCUUACGGGUGGCGAGUGGCGGACGGGUGAGGAAUACAUCGGAAUCUACUUUUUCGUGGGGGAUAACGUAGGGAAACUUACGCUAAUACCGCAUACGACCUACGGGUGAAAGCAUGGGAUCUUCGGACCUUGCGCGAUUGAAUGAGCCGAUGUCGGAUUAGCUAGUUGGCGGGGUAAAGGCCCACCAAGGCGACGAUCCGUAGCUGGUCUGAGAGGAUGAUCAGCCACACUGGAACUGAGACACGGUCCAGGCUCCUACGGGAGGCAGCAGUGGGGAAUAUUGGACAAUGGGCGCAAGCCUGAUCCAGCCAUACCGCGUGGGUGAAGAAGGCCUUCGGGUCGUAAAGCCCUUUUGUUGGGAAAGAAAAGCAGCAGGUUAAGACCCCGCUGUUCUGACGGUACCCAAAGAAUAAGCACCGGCUAACUUCGUG